AACCUUAUGGACCUGCGGGCGUAUACCUGCGGAGGGAUCAUUACCGAGUAUUUGGGUCUUUUAGGCCCUAACUCACCACCCUUUGUGUACCAAUUUACCAAUUGUUCAGUUGCUUUGGCAGGUGCUCCUCCAUUUACUUUUGGGGGACCCUGCCAUUGGAACCACUUUUAAACUCUUGUUAUUACGUGUCUGUCUGAGUAAAAACAAAAAUGAUUAAAACUUUUAACAAUGGAUCUCAGA
RNAcentral lists this unclassified non-coding RNA (240 nucleotides) under soil metagenome. Its description in RNAcentral is "partial contains 5.8S ribosomal RNA, internal transcribed spacer 2, and large subunit ribosomal RNA". The record is from RNAcentral.